GAAUUCAUCACUCAAGAUGGCAGCACAAUUUACGUACCUCCAAUAGUAUUUAGUAGAGAGACUAAUUGUGGUCAACGUUUUGAGGAUCCUUAAAACGUCAAAUUAAAGAUGGAUAAUACUUGAACUUCGCCGAAUUCAAGUCAAAAUGUUUGUCCAAAUCCAAUAUGUUCUUUAUUAAAAUCAAGCCAAAAAAGAACAUGCAUGCAUUGGAAUAUCGAAAAAGAUUUAAUGAUGAUAAAGGAUGUGAUUAAUUGAUUUUAUUUAGAACAUGCAUGCAAUGGAAUAUCGAAAAAGAUUUAAUGAUGAUGAAGGAUGAAACUUUAGGAGUUUUAAUUCAAAAACCUGGAAGUAAAGAGAUAUGGUAGCAGGUUUCUGAUUUGUUAAACAAAAACGGUUUCUAUGUUACAAAGAGAGGUAUGAGAUCGAUUAUCUAAUAAUAUGAAAAAGCAUCGUGCUCAGGCGAACAAGGAAAAAAAACUUUCUGGUGAAGGUGGAGAAGAAAUAACUGAAUACGAUAUUUUGGUUGAAGAAUUAAUUGAAAUCAGUGAUGACUCAGUGAUGUUCAGAAAUCAGUGAUGACACAGAUGUUCAGAAAUCAGUGAUGACACAGAUGUUCAGAAAUCAGUGAUGACACAGAUGUUCAGAAAUCAGUGAUGACACAGAUGUUCAGAAAUCAGCGAUGACACAGAUGUUCAGAAAGAUGAAAAAUCUCAAGAAAAAGAUGAAGAUCGUAUGAAAGCUUUAGAUAAAAGAAAUAAUACUAAGAGUUCUUGCUCAGCAACAACAAAAUAAUAUAAAAAGUAUGUUUAAUCAUAUGUUAGCUCAACAAACAGAAAUAUUAAAAAUGUUAUUAGAAAAAAGAAAUUAGU
Hydra vulgaris (swiftwater hydra) is the source of this 869-nucleotide non-coding RNA. NCBI's taxonomy places the organism in Eukaryota, Metazoa, Cnidaria, Hydrozoa, Anthoathecata, Hydridae. The record is from RefSeq and is a predicted model, not a curated record.